Molecule: ribosomal RNA, 252 nt
Filed under: uncultured Oscillospira sp.
Lineage: Bacteria; Bacillati; Bacillota; Clostridia; Eubacteriales; Oscillospiraceae
Description: partial 16S ribosomal RNA
Rfam family: Bacterial small subunit ribosomal RNA
Source: RNAcentral
UACGGAGGAUGCGAGCGUUAUCCGGAUUUAUUGGGUUUAAAGGGUGCGUAGGCGGAAUAUCAAGUCAGCGGUAAAAAUUCGGGGCUCAACCCCGUCGUGCCGUUGAAACUGGCGUUCUUGAGUGCUGGAGAGGCAAUCGGAAUUCCGUGUGUAGCGGUGAAAUGCGUAGAUAUACGGAGGAACACCAGUGGCGAAGGCGGAUUGCUGGACAGUAACUGACGCUGAGGCGCGAAAGCGUGGGGAGCAAACAGG